GUAGGUGAACCUGCGGAAGGAUCAUUACAGAGCACCGGGUACUGGGCCCCCGGGCCAGCCCGACCUCCUACCCCUGUGAACAUACACCGUUGCUUUGACGGGCCCGCGCGGGCCGGUGGGCGCCCGUCAGAGGCCCCCCAAACCCUCUCAGCCGUGACGUCUGAGUACCACACAAUAGUUAAAAACUUUCAACAACGGAUCUCUUGGUUCUG
Molecule: unclassified non-coding RNA, 212 nt
Filed under: rhizosphere metagenome
Description: partial ribosomal RNA internal transcribed spacer region
Source: RNAcentral